RNAcentral lists this ribosomal RNA (253 nucleotides) under uncultured bacterium. RNAcentral's name for it is "partial 16S ribosomal RNA". It matches the Rfam family "Bacterial small subunit ribosomal RNA", at positions 524 to 776 of the family's 1533-position model. The record is from RNAcentral.
UACGUAGGGGGCAAGCGUUGUCCGGAAUCAUUGGGCGUAAAGAGCGCGUAGGCGGUCCGGUAAGUCCGCUCUGAAAGUCCGGGGCUCAACCCCGGGAGGCGGGCGGAUACUGCCGGGCUAGAGUCCGGAAGAGGCGAGUGGAAUUCCAGGUGUAGCGGUGAAAUGCGUAGAUAUCUGGAGGAACACCGGUGGCGAAGGCGGCAUCCUGGACCGGUAUUGACGCUGAGGCGCGAAAGCUAGGGGAGCAAACGGG